UUGGAACUUUUUAAAUUCAAAAGAUGAAGUUUGAUCUGUACAUUGGGUGCAUUUGAUUCUUCACUGAUUCUUUAGGGGUGAAAAACGUAACUGUGAUGAUUUCCUUAAUUUGUAUUGCUAACGAAGGUACACAUUUGACGACGAUAUAUAUGAAACGGAUAUGAUGAACAAACAAUAUGCCAAACUCAAAGAAACGAAAAUCGAGAAGCGAAAGUCAUUGAAGCGAGCGUAGUGAAGCGAAGGUCAAGAAGCGAACCUGGGUUAGUGUCCAAAAAUUGGAACCGAAUGGAACCGAACGUUCGGUUGCGUUCGCUUUGGGUAUGAAAUUGAAGCGAACCUGAGAUUCGCUUUCGGUCCUUGAUUAAUUGAUUCGGAGCGAGAGGUUAUGGAUUCAGGGCUGCCUUGAUUCGCUCCAUUGAACUUGAAGUGAACCUCUCAUAGUCAUUGUUAUGCAAACGAAACUGGGAUUAUAGAUUCGAAACGAACCUGACAAAUCAAGAUGCGGAAGUUCGUCUCUCGUCUAAAGACACCAAAACGAAACUGAAAUUGGAAUAGGAGUUCAGACAUUCGUUCAGUCCUCCAUUUGUCGUCAUCGAUUCACAGUUCUUGGCUCAAUUUUGAAAUUGCAUAAACGAAGGAAUCGGCAUUCCCAGGUUCAUAAUCGGAUUAUCGGACCUUUCAAAUCAUCAAUCGGAAUUGGAAUUGGAUAUCUCAAAUCGGAACUUCAAGUAGACUGUCGUCGGAUCAAAACCAAAAUCUGAAAUCGGAAUUUAUUGUAGUAGAAAUCGAAAGUAUUUUGCUGAUUUUGACUUUUUCUAGUCAAAAGACGUGGUUCAUCCGUUCCAGUGAAGAAGAUCUUGGUCCCUGCACCUUCAGCGUUUUGAUUGUUCCAGUCCUCAACUAUUUACAGACUUCACAUAUUUAACCCACCUUUGAUAGUUUCAGCGUUAAAAUGAAGAAUAUGGGUUAUAUUUUCAACUUUUGCCCCCUGACUUUUAGAAGUUCACAGAUUUAAUCCCAUAUCCACAAUUCUUUUCAAUUUCUUGGGAUUCUAUCAUUUACCCCUUCUUACCAAAAUAUUUUCAUUUCUUAUCCUUUUCUUUGGUUUUAUUUUUUUCAAACCCUUCUAAAUAAUUGCUUCUUAUUCUAUUCUUUUGUCUAAAUUUAAAUAUCGGCAAAUACCAAAUUAAUUUUUGUUAUUUUUCCGGUUUUAAUUUUUGAGAAUUGGGUUUAUUCUAAAGGGAUUUAUUUCAUCAAAUCUGACGGGUUUUGAAGAUUGUUGGUGAUUCUUCUUAACUUUUUGGAUUCUCUCCAUGACAUUUGUUGAAGAUUCAAGGAGGAGUGAUGAUUAUUCAAGGGGGAGGUCGUAUUUGGAAGAUUGUUUUUAUUUCUCUCGCUUUGAAGACCCCAUGUGCUGAUGAGUAUCACAAUUUAGGGGGAGAAAUGCCAAGAAGAUCGAAAAUCGUGAUCUUCAUCAGUUUCAACAUCUAAGGGAAGAUUGUUGAGUAUUUGAGAUAUUGAAACUAAUUUGACAUAUUUGGUUAUUUAGGGAAGCCUUUUUAGCAUUAAUCAUUUUAUGAUUCCCUACGAUGCCUUUAUAGUAGAAGUUCUUAAUCGAGCUCUUCUAAGACAUUUGUUUUAUUUUAAGGCAUAGAUUUUAUAUUUAUGGUAUAUUUUUAUUGUACCCUAUAAAUAAUCAUUAGGUUAACUUUUGGUGUAAGCUUUUUACCAGAUUAGAGUUUUCUCUGUACGCUCAUCUCAUAAUCAAUAUACACAAAAACCUUUAUAUUA
This is a long non-coding RNA of Lactuca sativa (garden lettuce), 1791 nucleotides long. RefSeq lists it as uncharacterized. The record is from RefSeq and is a predicted model, not a curated record. NCBI's taxonomy places the organism in Eukaryota, Viridiplantae, Streptophyta, Magnoliopsida, Asterales, Asteraceae.